GCGGGGGUGUCGGAGUGGUCAAACGAGCUACGUUGAGGGCGUAGUGGCUUAGUGCCUGCGCGAGUUCGAAUCUCGUCUCCCGCA
RNAcentral lists this transfer RNA (84 nucleotides) under Candidatus Woesearchaeota archaeon. RNAcentral describes it as "tRNA-Leu". It matches the Rfam family "tRNA". From Rfam's summary of the family: Transfer RNA (tRNA) molecules are approximately 80 nucleotides in length. Lineage: Archaea; Nanobdellati; Candidatus Woesearchaeota. The record is from RNAcentral.